GAUGAACGCUGGCGGCGUGCCUAAUACAUGCAAGUCGAGCGAACAGACGAGGAGCUUGCUCCUCUGACGUUAGCGGCGGACGGGUGAGUAACACGUGGAUAACCCACCUAUAAGACUGGGAUAACUUCGGGAAACCGGAGCUAAUACCGGAUAAUAUAUUGAACCGCAUUGUUGAAUAGUGAAAGACGGUGUUUCUGUCACGUAUAGAUGGAUCCGCGCCUGAUUAGCUAGUUGGUAAGGUAACGGGUUAUCAAGGGGACGAGGCGUAGCCGAAGUGAGGGGGUGAUCGCCCACACUGGAAGUGAGACACGCUCCAGGCUCCUACGGGAGGCAGCAGUAGGGAAUCUUCCGCAAUGGGCGAAAGCCUGACGGAGCAACGCGGCGUGAGUGAUGAAGGUCUUCGGAUCGUAAAACUCUGUUAUUAGGGAAGAACCAAUGUGUAAGUAAAUAUGCACGUCCUGACGGUACCUAAUAAGAAAGCAACGGCUAACUACGUG
This 497-nucleotide ribosomal RNA is filed under the name uncultured bacterium. RNAcentral describes it as "partial 16S ribosomal RNA". It matches the Rfam family "Bacterial small subunit ribosomal RNA", at positions 28 to 507 of the family's 1533-position model. The record is from RNAcentral.